GACGAACGCUGGCGGCGUGCUUAACACAUGCAAGUCGAACGGAAAGGCCCUGCCUUUGUGGGGUGCUCGAGUGGCGAACGGGUGAGUAACACGUGAGUAACCUGCCCUUGACUUCGGGAUAAGUUCAGGAAACUGGGGCUAAUACCGGAUAGGAGCACCUGCUGCAUGGUGUGGGUUAGAGAGUUUCGGCGGUGGGGGAUGGACUCGCGGCUUAUCAGCUUGUUGGUGGGGUAGUGGCUUACCAAGGCUUUGACGGGUAGCCGGCCUGAGAGGGUGACCGGCCACAUUGGGACUGAGAUACGGCCCAGACUCCUACGGGAGGCAGCAGUGGGGAAUAUUGCACAAUGGGCGGAAGCCUGAUGCAGCAACGCCGCGUGCGGGAUGACGGCCUUCGGGUUGUAAACUGCUUUCGCCAGGGACGAAGCGUGAGUGACGGUAAUGGGUGAAGAAGCACCGGCUAACUACGUG
This 468-nucleotide ribosomal RNA is filed under the name uncultured bacterium. RNAcentral describes it as "partial 16S ribosomal RNA". It matches the Rfam family "Bacterial small subunit ribosomal RNA", at positions 28 to 507 of the family's 1533-position model. The record is from RNAcentral.